Molecule: ribosomal RNA, 862 nt
Filed under: Klebsiella aerogenes
Lineage: Bacteria; Pseudomonadati; Pseudomonadota; Gammaproteobacteria; Enterobacterales; Enterobacteriaceae
Description: partial 23S ribosomal RNA
Rfam family: Bacterial large subunit ribosomal RNA
Source: RNAcentral
UCAUCUUCGGGGGUAGAGCACUGUUUCGGCUAGGGGGUCAUCCCGACUUACCAACCCGAUGCAAACUACGAAUACCGAAGAAUGUUAUCACGGGAGACACACGGCGGGUGCUAACGUCCGUCGUGAAGAGGGAAACAACCCAGACCGCCAGCUAAGGUCCCAAAGUCACAGUUAAGUGGGAAACGAUGUGGGAAGGCACAGACAGCCAGGAUGUUGGCUUAGAAGCAGCCAUCAUUUAAAGAAAGCGUAAUAGCUCACUGGUCGAGUCGGCCUGCGCGGAAGAUGUAACGGGGCUAAACUGUGCACCGAAGCUGCGGCAGCGACACUAUGUGUUGUUGGGUAGGGGAGCGUUCUGUAAGCCUGCGAAGGUGGCCUGUGAGGGUUGCUGGAGGUAUCAGAAGUGCGAAUGCUGACAUAAGUAACGAUAAUGCGGGUGAAAAGCCCGCACGCCGGAAGACCAAGGGUUCCUGUCCAACGUUAAUCGGGGCAGGGUGAGUCGACCCCUAAGGCGAGGCCGAAAGGCGUAGUCGAUGGGAAACAGGUUAAUAUUCCUGUACUUGGUGUUACUGCGAAGGGGGGACGGAGAAGGCUAUGUUAGCCGGGCGACGGUUGUCCCGGUUUAAGCAUGUAGGCGGAGGUUCCAGGUAAAUCCGGUACCUUUUAACGCUGAGGUGUGAUGACGAGGCACUACGGUGCUGAAGUAACAAAUGCCCUGCUUCCAGGAAAAGCCUCUAAGCAUCAGGUAACAUUGAAUCGUACCCCAAACCGACACAGGUGGUCAGGUAGAGAAUACCAAGGCGCUUGAGAGAACUCGGGUGAAGGAACUAGGCAAAAUGGUGCCGUAACUUCGGGAGAAGGCACG